AUUGAACGCUGGCGGCAGGCCUAACACAUGCAAGUCGAGCGGUAGAGAGGUGCUUGCAUCUCUUGAGAGCGGCGGACGGGUGAGUAAUGCCUAGGAAUCUGCCUAGUGGUGGGGGAUAACGUUCGGAAACGGACGCUAAUACCGCAUACGUCCUACGGGAGAAAGCGGGGGAUCUUCGGACCUCGCGCCAUUAGAUGAGCCUAGGUCGGAUUAGCUAGUUGGUGAGGUAAUGGCUCACCAAGGCGACGAUCCGUAACUGGUCUGAGAGGAUGAUCAGUCACACUGGAACUGAGACACGGUCCAGACUCCUACGGGAGGCAGCAGUGGGGAAUAUUGGACAAUGGCGAAAGCCUGAUCCAGCCAUGCCGCGUGUGUGAAGAAGGUCUUCGGAUUGUAAAGCACUUAAGUUGGGAGGAAGGUAG
RNAcentral lists this ribosomal RNA (422 nucleotides) under uncultured bacterium. RNAcentral describes it as "bacterial SSU rRNA". It matches the Rfam family "Bacterial small subunit ribosomal RNA", at positions 30 to 454 of the family's 1533-position model. The record is from RNAcentral.